GACUAUCACCAUCAAGUCACCCGAUACUGAUGUUGCCGUGCUAGCAGUUGCGUUCAGCCACUCCAUUCCAGCACCUCUCUACUUCAUGACAGGAACCGGUGUAAAGACUCGCUACAUCCUGAUGAAUGCUAUCAGCGAGAAGUUGGGCCAAGCUGUUUGUGAUGCUCUACCUGGCUUUCAUGCUUUUACGGGCUGUGACACAACAAGUGCCUUUGCAGGCAGAGGCAAGAAAGGUGCCUUCAAGCUUCUGUGCAACAACUCCCCGGAGAGUGCAGCUGCCCGCUUGGCCUUCAGUACUUUGGGUGCAGCUUUUACACCACUUGCCACCGAUGUCAUCGACGCCCUAGAGAAGUUUGUCUGCAUCAUGUACAACACCACGUGUUCCCGGGUCAAUGAUGCCAGGUACCAGCUGUUUUGCACAAGGAGUCUGCAAUCCAACCAACUGCCACCCUGCAAUGACGCCCUUCUAAAGCACUGCUGCCGCUCCAAUUACCAAGCUGGUAUUUGGAAGCGAUGCCUCUUGUCACAUGUGGAUGCACCAUCACCGAAUGAGAAAGAACAAGGCUGGCACCUAGAAAGCAAUGGGACAUUGGCAGUUGACUGGUUAAGCCUGCCACCUGCUCCAAAGUCAAUCCUAGAGUUCCUCCGGUGCGGGUGCAAAACUGGUUGCAGCAGUGGCAACUGUUCGUGCCGCCGGCAUAUGCUGUUGUGUACAGAUGCUUGCACCUGUCGGCACCACUCUUCAGUAGUAUGCACAAACUACCCAGAGCAGCAUGCAGCAUUGCCUACGACCCAACACAUCUCACCUGAAACUGAUUUGGUCUGCAGUGACACAGCUCAUGACUGAUAGCAGCCAGCCAACCGUAAGGAUUCGGGACUGACAAACUUGUUGAGCAAUCAUGUGCAUGAUGGAUAGCAGCCAGCUCUAGAGUGUCCCACCACCUCUGGGAUAUCUUGCAACAAAUCUUAUGACAGAUCUGUGUCAGCAUCAGUGGAUGCCGGAACUGUCUUUCUUUGGCCGACAACCGCAUCCCGCAGCACGGGUGAUAGCACAUCUUCUUCUUAUCAUAUUAUCUACAUGACUGUAAUAUUGUCAUUAUAAUUUAACCUGUA
Sycon ciliatum is the source of this 1113-nucleotide long non-coding RNA. RefSeq lists it as uncharacterized. The transcript has 4 exons. Lineage: Eukaryota; Metazoa; Porifera; Calcarea; Leucosolenida; Sycettidae. The record is from RefSeq and is a predicted model, not a curated record.